AUCAGAUGGUGGUGGUGGUGGUGGUGCUGAUCAUCAUCAUCAUCAUAUCAUCAUCAUAUCAUCAUCAUCAUCAUCAUCAUCAUCAUCAUCAUCA
This 94-nucleotide microRNA precursor is filed under the name Guillardia theta CCMP2712. RNAcentral describes it as "microRNA mir-598". The record is from RNAcentral. Lineage: Eukaryota; Cryptophyceae; Pyrenomonadales; Geminigeraceae.